Molecule: ribosomal RNA, 474 nt
Filed under: uncultured Coriobacteriaceae bacterium
Lineage: Bacteria; Bacillati; Actinomycetota; Coriobacteriia; Coriobacteriales; Coriobacteriaceae
Description: bacterial SSU rRNA
Rfam family: Bacterial small subunit ribosomal RNA
Source: RNAcentral
ACCGGAUACCCCGGGGUGCCGCAUGGCACCCCGGCUAAAGCCCCGACGGGAGGGGAUGGCUCCGCGGCCCAUCAGGUAGACGGCGGGGUGACGGCCCACCGUGCCGACAACGGGUAGCCGGGUUGAGAGACCGACCGGCCAGAUUGGGACUGAGACACGGCCCAGACUCCUACGGGAGGCAGCAGUGGGGAAUCUUGCGCAAUGGGGGGAACCCUGACGCAGCGGCGCCGCGUGCGGGACGGAGGCCUUCGGGUCGUAAACCGCUUUCAGCAGGGAAGAGUCAAGACUGUACCUGCAGAAGAAGCCCCGGCUAACUACGUGCCAGCAGCCGCGGUAAUACGUAGGGGGCGAGCGUUAUCCGGAUUCAUUGGGCGUAAAGCGCGCGUAGGCGGCCCGGCAGGCCGGGGGUCGAAGCGGGGGGCUCAACCCCCCGAAGCCCCCGGAACCUCCGCGGCUUGGGUCCGGUAGGGGAGG